GAACCUUGUCUGUAUGAUGCUCCAUGGUAAUAUCACAUUUUCCAGUAGCCACAUCCCAAAGUUUGACCUGUCUAUCAGCACUAGCACUGGCAAGGAUAUUCCUGAACUGUUUAUUCCAGGCAAGGCCAAGUACAGAAUCAGUGUGACUGCCUUCUUUGUAUUUGGUUGAUGUCUAACACAGAAAGUUGCAGAAUUUGUAAAAGAAGAAAGCAUGGGAGAAAAGAAAAGUGUUUAUCAGGACCAUAACAUAAUAACUGUUUUGAGGUCAUUAACACUGCCAGAAAUGGAAUGGUAGUUUCAAAAAAUUACUCAAAUUCAAACAUUGUGAUGAAAGUAAUACCCUGAAGCGUGUACAAUCCACACAAAACUCUUUGUUAAAUUGAACAGAAAUGAACCAAAUACAUGCCAAUAGAAAUGAACCAAAUAUUGGCCAUUCCAAGAUCCUUUUCAUCCUAGAUUCUAAUUAUGCCAAUAAGAAUUGAAUUGACAGCUCAACUCUAGCAACCAUUAUACUAAUUCAUAAGUCUUAAGACCUUCAUUUUAAACAGUAACUUGAAACAUAAUUUCCUUAAGAAUAAACUCCACCCAAAAAUUAAAAAAUUCAUUUAAUGUUCCCAAGGCUGAGUUUUAUCAAACAUGUUUCAUGCAUGCUGUACCUAUACCUGCAUAUGACAUGCCUGACCUUUUUACAAAGGUAUCAGGGCUUGUUUCUGAAAACCAAUAUUCAAAAUUGACUAAGCAGAAAAUGAGAUGCAAUGAAUUUAUGAGCGUCUCAUUUUUAUAAAAGUUAAUGAACAUAUGCACGAUAUUCAGUAUGACAGCAAGUGCACAAAAGCUGAUAACCACAAACAUAAAUUCAAAAUUUGAAUAUAACAGCAACAGGCUGCCAAAUGGAUAGUUGUGAAGAUAAAUUCACGGAUCUAUAUUAAACGUAAUGCAGGCAUUCACCAAAGCAGCAUGAUGCUAUUUUUACAAUUUCAUAGAUAGAACAAAUAAUAAUAUAGUACUUAAAAAUCUCAAAUAACUAAAUAUAUUAUUAUGUAUUAUUAAUAUAAGAUAUAGUAAAUGCAUAAGUAUUUUGCUAACAUAAAUAAUCCAAAUUAAAAUAUUAAAAUUGUAACAGAAUGUAGUAGUAGACCUUCUUUCCUUUUUUUUUUCUUCUUCUUCUUCAAAUUUACUACUUUAUUUUUCCUCUUUUUUUUUAAUUUUAUUAUUGUUUUCAGUAUCCAUUUUCCCUUGAUUCAGUGUAGUUAGUGAAUAAAAGUCCAAUUCCGAUCCUUUUUGUAAUUAUGAAGCAAUUGCCGUCUCAGAAUGGAUAUUUCAAUUUUAUUUAAAAAG
This 1338-nucleotide unclassified non-coding RNA is filed under the name Hevea brasiliensis (rubber tree). The record is from RNAcentral. Lineage: Eukaryota; Viridiplantae; Streptophyta; Magnoliopsida; Malpighiales; Euphorbiaceae.